CCCACAUGUGAAUCACAGCUUCUGCUGCAUGCCCACUCCUUUUACCUAAAUAUGCAGUUAUCAUCAUACAUCCAGAAUUGCCCUCUGUCCCCGGCUGCAUACAUCAUCAGAGGAGAAUGUUGAUCACCUGUUUCCAAGCCUUGGCAAGGCAAUUCAGGAUAAAUGU
Molecule: small RNA, 166 nt
Filed under: Pongo abelii (Sumatran orangutan)
Lineage: Eukaryota; Metazoa; Chordata; Mammalia; Primates; Hominidae
Description: sense overlapping
Source: RNAcentral